GGAAUUCGCAUGGGCGAAAGCCUGAUCCAGCCUGCCGCGUGUGUGAAGAAGGUCUUAGGAUUGGAAAGCACUUUAAGUUGGGAGGAAGGGCAGCUAGCUAAUACCUUGCUGUUUUGACCUUACC
This 124-nucleotide ribosomal RNA is filed under the name uncultured bacterium. RNAcentral's name for it is "partial 16S ribosomal RNA". The record is from RNAcentral.